UACGUAGGGGGCAAGCGUUGUCCGGAUUUAUUGGGCGUAAAGGGUGCGUAGGUGGUCGGGUAAGUCUGAUGUGAAAUCUCUGGGCUCAACCCAGAAAUGGCAUUGGAUACUAUUCGGCUAGAGGAGUGGAGGGGGGACUGGAAUACUUGGUGUAGCAGUGAAAUGCGUAGAUAUCAAGUGGAACACCAGUGGCGAAGGCGAGUCCCUGGACACUUCCUGACACUGAGGCACGAAAGCUAGGGGAGCAAACAGG
RNAcentral lists this ribosomal RNA (253 nucleotides) under uncultured bacterium. Its description in RNAcentral is "partial 16S ribosomal RNA". It matches the Rfam family "Bacterial small subunit ribosomal RNA", at positions 524 to 776 of the family's 1533-position model. The record is from RNAcentral.